This 314-nucleotide unclassified non-coding RNA is filed under the name uncultured fungus. Its description in RNAcentral is "partial contains 5.8S ribosomal RNA, internal transcribed spacer 2, and large subunit ribosomal RNA". The stretch from base 1 to 52 matches the Rfam family "5.8S ribosomal RNA", at positions 103 to 154 of the family's 154-position model. Lineage: Eukaryota; Fungi. The record is from RNAcentral.
AACGCAAAUUGCACUCUUUGGUAUUCCGAAGAGUAUGCCUGUUUGAGUGUCAUGAAAACCUCAACUCCAAGUUUGGUUAAUCCAAGCUUGGAUGUUGGAUGUGGGCGUUUGUCAAUGCCAAGUUGACUCGCCUUAAAAAUGUAAGCUGGAUUAGUCUUUGACUGGUUCCCCUAGGCGUAAUAAGUAUUUCGCUUAGGACACAAGCUUGCUUGUGGCCAGGACUUGACGAUAGUCUGCUUUCUAUACCCUACACACUUGUGUGUGACUUCUUGACAUCUGGCCUCAAAUCAGGUAGGACUACCCGCUGAACUUAA